GGAAUCGAACCUGGCUCGCAGCGGUGGGAGCACUGCAUCUUAACCACUAGACCACCAGGGGACCAUAAGAGAAGAAGAGAGUAAUACACGUGAAUAAGGUCAAGGUUGCAGAGGUGCGCCAUCUUUUGGGGAAACGUGGGCAUUACAGGGGAAAGGUAAAUUGAACAAGGUUUACCUGUACCUAUUUUGAUAUAAAUUGGUCACGUUCAGCGGGCCGGAUUAAUAAACCAAACGGGUCGUGUGUGGCCCGCGUGCUGUAGUUUGCCAAUGUCUGUACUAAAGCCUUAUUUUAUGCUGAAUGUUGCAUUCGCUUAAGGCAGGGAGUUGCAGUUAAAGCUGGAAGAUGACGUUUUUUUAAUGAAUAUAUUUUUAAUGAAUAUAUUUUUAAUGAAUUUUUUAAUGCUUAAUCAUAAGCAUUAAAAAAAACAGUGGUGAUGGUGCACAACCACUUAUGUAGCCAAUCCUAACACAAAAAUGUGGUUCAGGAUCAACUAAUGACUAUGUCUGACAUGCGUGUAAUCAAGGAAUCCCACAGUGAUUGAAGUAACCUGCUGGUUCUGUGUGGAUCUUUUGAAAAGUCAACGCAGUGUGUAGAUGCCUUACAUUCACAAACUGCUUGAUCGGCUAGGUGCGGCAUGCUUUUAUUCAACACAAAAUUUAACCAACACAAUCUUCUCCACUGUCAGCCAUUGUGGAAUGAAAAAAAACAGCUGUUAAAAUCCACACAAAUAUAUUUGAGCUUGUUCAGUUUUUUGCACUUGUGGUUUGCUAAUUGUGACUAGUGCUCUCUCUGACCAUGCAGCCCAGCCACUACGGUUGCAUAAGCCAGUGAACUCUUACUGCCAGUCCCAAGCCCAGAUAAAUAGGGAGGGUUGCAUUGGAAGGGGAUCCAGCAUAAAACAUCAAUAUCAAAUAUAUCUAUAUAAUUUCUGGUUUGUGAUUAUGAAAGAUUUUACUAAUGCUCUGGCACAUUACAUCACCAAAGACAUUGUGCCCAUAUACACAGUUAAAAAACCUGGAUUUAUUCAUAUGCUUAAAAUAAUGUACGGUAUAUGGUAUAUGAGCUUCCAAACCAAAAGUAUUUUUCAGAAGUUACUCUUUCUAAGUUAUACAAAACUACACCUGAAAACAUUGAAAAGCAGCUGGAGAAUGUGUUGUUUUAUUCCACCACGACAGAUCUUUAGUUCAGAUGACUCUUGCAUCCCUAUUUGAGUUUGAUGGCACAAUGUAUAACAGACGACCGAAUUCUGCAAAGUUUCUGCCUCCAGACAGCUUAUUUCCCCAGUGACCACACUGGAGAAAUAAUUGCACAAUGUCUGAAUGACGUGUUGGCUUAGUGAAAACAUGGGGAACGUGUGCAUGACAACAGACAGUGGCACCAAUAUGAUUAAAGCUCUGAAACUAAACGAGUGGACCAACCUCCAGUAUUUUGGACACAACCUGCAUAACGCUAUCUGAAAUGGUGUGAAGGAUCCACAUAUUCAGUUGGGGUUUUCAAGAAGGUUGUUGGUGCUUUUUCAUUUAGUUGGAAAAAAAGAAGAGAUUUGCCGAAGCACAGACUGAGCUCAUCAGCUUAUCACAGAGAACCCAACCUGAAGGCAUCUAGAAACUAUUACAGCUCUAGUUGUGUCCCACCUCAUGAAGAUUUCAGGCCUUCAAAAAGAAAAUGCAGAGCCCUCCAGAAUCCCAAGCCUUCUCCAGUUGAAACCUACAGUAUUUCAUUCAGACAUUGGCCUUAGAGGAUAAACAACCUUUUAUUCAAUACUCAAGGAACAUUCUACAUAUGCUGUUUCUUCCUUAUGCCAUCUAAGGGAUUUCUUUUUGCCACUGACUGUCUCCCAAGGUUUGCUCAGCUGGGAAAAUAUAUAUGUAAAUGUAAUGAUAACUGAAUUUUGUUCUAUAAUUCUUACAUUCUGUAAAGCUGUGAAAAGGCCUAUAGAAAUAUACCUGAAUUGAAAUGAA
This is a long non-coding RNA of Silurus meridionalis, 1962 nucleotides long. RefSeq lists it as uncharacterized. The transcript has 3 exons. NCBI's taxonomy places the organism in Eukaryota, Metazoa, Chordata, Actinopteri, Siluriformes, Siluridae. The record is from RefSeq and is a predicted model, not a curated record.